AUCUACGGAAACCUUAUUUGUAUUCCUGUUUUCAAAUUGUAAACAAUAAUCAUACUCUCAUGAAAUUAAAGUAUAAACUUUCCUCAACCCAUUACGUGUGCAUGAACUCAACAAAUGCAGUCCAUGCGUCUGUAUCGAUUCGCUCGAUCGAGUUAUUUUUAUGUUUCGUCCCGAAAAAGAUCCGAAUCGUUUGUGAAUCUCAUCACUGUUAGAAAUCCAAGAGAAGAGAUCCUCUUCCCUUAACAUCAUCAGAAGACAAAUCUGCUUCUUAAUCAAUUAGUUUCAGCGUUUGUCUCUUCUUGAGCAAGGCGUGGUGAGACACUUUACACAAGAUUUACGACUCUGUGGUCUGUGUGUUCUGGUAUCUGCUGAGUCACCAGAAAUCUGCCAAGACACUGACACUUGCGCCUGCUCCAACAUCUGGCGCAUAAGGGCUUUAAGGUUUCCAGAACCAAGCUGCAAUAUUGCAUGGACACUUAAGUAUAUGAACUUUUGAAGUUUUGAACUUUCUCAAGGCUGCCAUUCUAGACACAAAACGCCCUGCAACUAAACAUGCACUGAUGUCUUUUCUGGGUCAGAAAAUGGAUCCCUGACUGCUCUUUAUAUGACAAGCUUCUCCGUUCUGCAAUCUCUCAUCACGAUCCACUACUACUGACGCUAUGGUGGUCGCUUAUCACUCCCUCAAAAGCACCCUGCUCACUUCAAGCCCUUCCACCUCUAUGCCUGUGAACACCAAGGCACAGCCUCUGGGGAGCAUGAGGGGGGGGAAAUGCGUUUGUGUUUUUAUCCAAAACAUUAGACAUUGUUGCUCAAGGCUUACCUGCGUGUCUGGGGGCUGUCUCCGCAUAUGCUUUGAUGGUUUUAGAUGCGGAAAAAUUGGUUUUGUCUCACCCACUGAUCUUGCACUCGUCACAUCAAGUUAAACAGGUGUUGCAAAAUUUACAGACCCAUUAAAUUAAUUUAAUCAGUAAUUUAAUAGAUAAUUAAAUUAACAUAUGACUAUUUAUUCUCUGUUCUACUAACAAUCUCGAAAUUCGUGUCACAUCCUCUUUUGAUAAUGUAGGUCGCGCUCUCGCACACCUCCUUAAUUCUCGGGAUGAUACUUGGGAUGACAUUGAUAUUGUCUGUCUAAAAAUCGUGCAUACUACUAGUAUCAGGUCUGAUCUCUCCUCCAGCCCUCUAGGGAUGGGGGAAGUACUCUUUGUUGAUGGUUAUUCUGUGGUUAUUCUGUGUGUUCAAUCAAUAUCAGCCUGAUAUUCUGCAUGAGACAUACGCUCUUCCGUUCUCAUUUGAUUUUUGUCAUCUUGAUUGUGGACAAAUUCUCUAAAUGGGUAGAAGUUUUUUUUCUGUUUUCGAGAGAACACGAAGGUAGUUACUCGUUUUAAUACCUAGUUAUAAUAAUAAUAAUAAUAAUAAUGAUACAUUUUAUUUAUAAGUGCCUUUCAAGGUACCCAAGGACACUGGACAGUAAAAAAGAAAACAAACAAUAAAAGCAGAACAAUAAUAAUAAAUCAAGAAAUCAAUAAUAAUUAUUAUUAUAGUUAUGGGGUUUCAAAUGCCAUAGACUCAGACAAAGGUACCCCUUUUUACUUCAAAAGUCACACAAAACCUUUGUAAGUAUCUCUAAACUAAACUGGUGUUUUCACAUUCCUCAAUCCUCUGGUAUCGUAGAACGUACUAAUCGAACAUUGAAAGACAAAUUAAUUAAGGUCAUGCAGGACACAGGUUUAGUUCUGUAAUCCAUAAUUCAUUCUGGCUGAAAUUCGCAUGACACCAAGAAAUUAUUUUUGGAAGACCUUUCCCCUCUCCCCUGGAAGAAGGGAACUCCGGCUCUGGGUACCUCUGAUUUGAAAAUGCAUAUGGAUGAGUAUUCUGCAGCCCUUUAGAUAAGUUGUAUAAAAUUUGUACCAAGGUCAAUAGUACAAUAUCUCCACCACACACCCCUUUCAUGUGGGAGACAAGUGCUGGUGUGAUUUUUUUUUAAAGUAAUGAUUUGGACAAUUGGGAAAACAAUAUAAUGGGUCUGCAGACAUAGUCGCCAUUACUUCUACUGCUGUUUUAACUGAUCUUUUUCCACAGUGGAUCCAUGCCACGCGAUUGAAGAAGGCUCCAUAACAAAGUUGUGUUACAAUGACAAGUUUGCUACUAACGUUUUCUCUGUGUCCCGAUAAUCUCUGUUCUCUCUCUCUGUCUCUCUAUUUCUGAGCUCUACACAGAUUCAACUGAGAAUCCUCAAGACGUUGUGAACAAAGAGGGGAAGAGAUCUUCGCCCCAUUUGGAACCAAUCAUCCUCACUACAACCAUGACAGUCCUCAUCACGGGUUUCGUGACUGCUUCAUUGUUGCUCGGGGCAGGGCUACCCGCCCGAGCCUUCGUGACUGCUUCAUCUUUUGCUCGGGGCAGGGCUACCCGCCCGAGCCUUCGUGACUGCUUCAUCUUUUGCUCGGGGCAGGGCUACCCGCCCGAGCCUUCUGGACCACGUCAUUGCUCGGAGCAGGGUUACCCGCUCGAGCUGGACUUCGAGACAACAUCUUCUGGACAAACUUCGCUAACUGGACUGCGCAAGCGCACACCACACGAAUGUGUUAUGUCUUUCAUCUGAUGCUGUCUUCUACUAUUAUUACACAUCUCUAUGCUCUGAAACUCUGUAUUCUUACAGGACUCUGUUCUCACUAUAGGUCGAUAUGCCUUCUAAUUUCAUUUUUCCUCACUGUUUUAGAACAAAUUACUCUGAAGGAAGUAGCGUGUAUUUGGGACGAAUUAAGAGGUUUUGAGUUUCUCUAAGCUCCGGUGAGGUGGGACGAGGGCUGGUCGGGCAUGCCCGCCCUCUGAGCACCAAUAUACGUCAAGAAGGGCAAAGAUUAACUCAAGAUUAAUUCUCGAUGUAAUCACAUAUAUGAUCAUGAGGUAAUAAUAUAUGAUCCUAGGAUUUGAUAAUAGUGAUACUAUUAUCAAAGGGGGGGGAUUGUUAGGUUUAUAUAAGUAUUAUUCUUGACCAAGAAGGCAGUAAUUUAUUAAAAUGGUGACAAAAUUAAGGAUUAACUUCGGUUCAGUUAAAAAUGACCUUCUGUCUCGGCUGGACAUUGUUUGGGAACAUUUUGUUUAUUUUGAUAUGAAAUGUGUAUUUUUGAUCAGAGAUGUGUCUGAACGACGCCAAGGUCUGUUUUGAUGUCAGAUCGACCCACACACACUUUAAUGUUGGAUGUAAUGGUAGCCUUAUUGCUGAACAAAGAGUUAAGACUUUAUAUUUUAGAUCUAAGAUCUAAGUUAGUUUUAUAGUUUUAAGUUAGUUUUAUAAUUACAGAAUAUAAUUUAGGGUUGUUAAGACCUUAUGAUUCUAAUGUUAAGACUUCAUGAGUUUAAUCCUGAAUCCUGUUUGACCUUUCUCUGGUGAAGUAGCAUUUCUUUGCUUUGCCAGACAUAUUCUUAUUUUUCGUAUGACUGUCUUUUAGGUUUGUUCUUAUUUACUUAUAACAUAUCUUUGUUGAAAGAUUCCGUAUGUGCGUAAGCAAUGUUUGUAUCUUGCUAUCAUGUCAUAUGAUCAGAUAUGUUAUUAUGUUAUGAUUAUUUGACCUGCCCCAAGAUCAAGCUGCUCACUUGCUCGCAAGUCAAUCACACACACAUACAUCUGAACAUUCCAUCAGAACAGUGAUAUAAUUAAAAUGUGACCUGCUCACACACACACACACACACACACAUAGACACAGAUAUCAAAAUGAUGUCACUUACUCACACCCUCCCAUAGACACACACACACACACACACACACCCUUCUGUGAGGUCACAUACAAACACACACACACAUUCGACAGACACAAUAGCCGUUUGGAGAGAUUAUGAUUUGUUAUAAAAGGUGUUUGUAAUCUUUCAUCUUUGGCGAGAAUACUGUGAAUAAACAGCAGUUA
Neoarius graeffei (lesser salmon catfish) is the source of this 3905-nucleotide long non-coding RNA. RefSeq lists it as uncharacterized. Lineage: Eukaryota; Metazoa; Chordata; Actinopteri; Siluriformes; Ariidae. The record is from RefSeq and is a predicted model, not a curated record. The transcript has 3 exons.